UGGGGAAUAUUGGGGCAAUGGGCGCAAGCCUGACCCAGCAACGCCGCGUGAAGGAAGAAGGCUCUCGGGUUGUAAACUUCUUUUAAGAGGGACGAAACAAAUGACGGUACCUCUUGAAUAAGCCACGGCUAACUACGUGCCAGCAGCCGCGGUAAUACGUAGGUUGCAAGCGUUGUCCGGAUUUACUGGGUGUAAAGGGCGUGUAGGCGGAGAUGCAAGUUGGGAGUGAAAUCCAUGGGCUCAACCCAUGAACUGCUCUCAAAACUGUAUCCCUUGAGUAUCGGAGAGGCAAGCGGAAUUCCUAGUGUAGCGGUGAAAUGCGUAGAUAUUAGGAGGAACACCAGUGGCGAAGGCGGCUUGCUGGACGACAACUGACGCUGAGGCGCGAAAGCGUGGGGAGC
This 401-nucleotide ribosomal RNA is filed under the name uncultured Clostridium sp. Its description in RNAcentral is "bacterial SSU rRNA". It matches the Rfam family "Bacterial small subunit ribosomal RNA", at positions 355 to 769 of the family's 1533-position model. The record is from RNAcentral. Lineage: Bacteria; Bacillati; Bacillota; Clostridia; Eubacteriales; Clostridiaceae.